This 494-nucleotide ribosomal RNA is filed under the name uncultured bacterium. RNAcentral's name for it is "partial 16S ribosomal RNA". It matches the Rfam family "Bacterial small subunit ribosomal RNA", at positions 28 to 506 of the family's 1533-position model. The record is from RNAcentral.
GAUGAACGCUGGCGGCGUGCCUAAUACAUGCAGGUAGAACGCUGAAGGAGGAGCUUGCUCUUCUGGAUGAGUUGCGAACGGGUGAGUAACGCGUAGGUAACCUGCCUGGUAGCGGGGGAUAACUAUUGGAAACGAUAGCUAAUACCGCAUGACAACAGUUAUUGCAUGAUAACUGUUUAAAAGGGGCAACUGCUCCACUACCAGAUGGACCUGCGUUGUAUUAGCUAGUUGGUGAGGUAACGGCUCACCAAGGCGACGAUACAUAGCCGACCUGAGAGGGUGAUCGGCCACACUGGGACUGAGACACGGCCCAGACUCCUACGGGAGGCAGCAGUAGGGAAUCUUCGGCAAUGGACGGAAGUCUGACCGAGCAACGCCGCGUGAGUGAAGAAGGUUUUCGGAUCGUAAAGCUCUGUUGUAAGAGAAGAACGAGUGUGAGAGUGGAAAGUUCACACUGUGACGGUAUCUUACCAGAAAGGGACGGCUAACUACGU